ACGGAAGGCAGCAGUGGGGGAUAUUGCACAAUGGGGGAAACCCUGAUGCAGCGACGCCGCGUGAGUGAUGAAGUAUUUCGGUAUGUAAAGCUCUAUCAGCAGGAAAGAUAAUGACGGUACCUGACUAAGAGGCACCGGCUAAAUACGUGCCAGCAGCCGCGGUAAUACGUAUGGUGCAAGCGUUAUCCGGAUUUACUGGGUGUAAAGGGAGCGCAGACGGCAUGGCAAGCCAGAUGUGAAAGGCAGGGGCUCAACUCCUGGACUGCAUUUGGAACUGUCAAGCUAAAGUAUCGGAGAGGUAAGUGGAAUUCCUAGUGUAGCGGUGAAAUGCGUAGAUAUUAGGAGGAACACCAGUGGCGAAGGCGGCUUACUGGACGAUAACUGACGUUGAGGCUCGAAAGCGUGGGGAGCAAACAGGAUUAGAUACCCUGGUA
Molecule: ribosomal RNA, 434 nt
Filed under: uncultured Lachnospiraceae bacterium
Lineage: Bacteria; Bacillati; Bacillota; Clostridia; Lachnospirales; Lachnospiraceae
Description: partial 16S ribosomal RNA
Rfam family: Bacterial small subunit ribosomal RNA
Source: RNAcentral